RNAcentral lists this ribosomal RNA (496 nucleotides) under uncultured bacterium. RNAcentral's name for it is "partial 16S ribosomal RNA". It matches the Rfam family "Bacterial small subunit ribosomal RNA", at positions 28 to 506 of the family's 1533-position model. The record is from RNAcentral.
GAUGAACGCUGGCGGCGUGCCUAAUACAUGCAAGUCGAGCGAACAGAUGAGGAGCUUGCUCCUCUGACGUUAGCGGCGGACGGGUGAGUAACACGUGGAUAACCUACCUAUAAGACUGGGAUAACUUCGGGAAACCGGAGCUAAUACCGGAUAAUAUAUUGAACCGCAUGGUUCAAUAGUGAAAGACGGUGUUGCUGUCACGUAUAGAUGGAUCCGCGCCGCAUUAGCUAGUUGGUAAGGUAACGGCUUACCAAGGCAACGAUGCGUAGCCGACCGGAGAGGGUGUUCGCCCACUGUGGAACUGAGCGGCGGCCCAGACUCCGACGGGAGGCAGCAGUAGGGAAUCUUCCGAAAUGGGCGAAAGCCUGACGGAGCAACGCCGCGUGAGUGAUGAAGGUCUUCGGAUCGUAAAACUCUGUUAUUAGGGAAGAACAAAUGUGUAAGUAACUAUGCACGUCUUGACGGUACCUAUUCAGAAAGCCCCGGCUAACUACGU